AACGAACGCUGGCGGCAGGCCUAACACAUGCAAGUCGAGCGAGGACUUCGGUCCUAGCGGCGGACGGGUGAGUAACGCGUGGGAAUAUGCCCAAAGGUACGGAAUAGCCUCGGGAAACUGGGAGUAAUACCGUAUGUGCCCUUCGGGGGAAAGAUUUAUCGGAGAAGGAUCGGCCCGCGUUGGAUUAGGUAGUUGGUGGGGUAACGGCCCUACCCAAGCCUACGAUCAGUAGCUGGUCUGAGAGGAUGAUCAGCCACAUUGGGACUGAGACACGGCCCAAACUCCUACGGGAGGCAGCAGUGGGGAAUAUUGGACAAUGGGCGCAAGCCUGAUCCAGCAAUGCCGCGUGGGUGAAGAAGGUCUUCGGAUUGUAAAGCCCUUUCGACGGGGACGAUGAUGACGGUACCCGUAGAAGAAGCCCCGGCUAACUUCGUG
RNAcentral lists this ribosomal RNA (435 nucleotides) under uncultured bacterium. Its description in RNAcentral is "bacterial SSU rRNA". It matches the Rfam family "Bacterial small subunit ribosomal RNA", at positions 29 to 507 of the family's 1533-position model. The record is from RNAcentral.